CCUACGGGGGGCUGCAGUGAGGAAUAUUGGUCAAUGGUCGGACGCCUGAACCAGCCAAGUAGCGUGCGGGAUGAAGGCCCUACGGGUCGUAAACCGCUUUUGCACGGGGAUAACACCCUCCACUUGUGGCUGUCUGCAUGUACCGUUCGAAUAAGGGCCGGCUAAUUCCGUGCCAGCAGCCGCGGUAAUCCGGAAGGCCCGAGCGUUAUCCGGAUUCGUUGGGCUUAAAGGGAGCGUAGGCGGGCGUUCAAGUCAGCUGUAAAAUCGCGCGGCUCAACCGCGCCCCGCAGUUGAAACUGGAAGACUUGAGUUGAAAACAGGCAGGCGGAAUGCGUGGUGUAGCGGUGAAAUGCAUAGAGAUCACGAGGAACCCCGAUUGCGAAGGCAGCCUGCCGGGGUGCGACUGACGCUGAGGCUCGAAGGUGCGGGUAUCAAACAGGAUUAGAUACCCGGGUAGUC
This 459-nucleotide ribosomal RNA is filed under the name uncultured bacterium. RNAcentral's name for it is "partial 16S ribosomal RNA". It matches the Rfam family "Bacterial small subunit ribosomal RNA", at positions 338 to 795 of the family's 1533-position model. The record is from RNAcentral.